Molecule: ribosomal RNA, 509 nt
Filed under: uncultured bacterium
Lineage: Bacteria
Description: SSU rRNA
Rfam family: Bacterial small subunit ribosomal RNA
Source: RNAcentral
AGGACGAACGCUGGCGGCGCGCUUAACACAUGCAAGUCGAGCGAGAACCAGGCCUUCGGGCCUGGGGAAAGCGGCGAACGGGUGAGUAACACGUGGGUAACCCACCCUUGGUACCGGGAUAGCCCGAGGAAACUCGGAUUAAUACCGGAUGGCCCAACAGCUUCUCGGAGCGGUUGGAAAAGGUAGCUUCGGCCUCCGACCAAGGACGGGCCCGCGGUGGAUUAGCUUGUUGGUGAGGUAACGGCUCACCAAGGCUUCGAUCCAUAGCUGGUCUGAGAGGACGAUCAGCCACACUGGGACUGAGACACGGCCCAGACUCCUACGGGAGGCAGCAGUGGGGAAUCUUGCGCAAUGGGCGAAAGCCUGACGCAGCGACGCCGCGUGGGGGAAGAAGGCUUUCGGGUGUAAACCCCUUUCAGGAAGGACGAAGCCACUCGGGUUAAUAGCCCAGAGGGUGACGGUACUUCCAGAAGAAGCCCCGGCUAACUACGUGCCAGCAGCCGCGGUAA